CGAACGGCAGCGCGGGAGCAAUCCUGGCGGCGAGUGGCGAACGGGUGAGUAAUACAUCGGAACGUGCCCAAUCGUGGGGGAUAACGCAGCGAAAGCUGUGCUAAUACCGCAUACGAUCUACGGAUGAAAGCAGGGGAUCGCAAGACCUUGCGCGAAUGGAGCGGCCGAUGGCAGAUUAGGUAGUUGGUGAGGUAAAGGCUCACCAAGCCUUCGAUCUGUAGCUGGUCUGAGAGGACGACCAGCCACACUGGGACUGAGGCACGGCCCAGACUCCUACGGGAGGCAGCAGUGGGGAAUUUUGGACAAUGGGCGAAAGCCUGAUCCAGCCAUGCCGCGUGCAGGAUGAAGGCCUUCGGGUUGUAAACUGCUUUUGUACGGAACGAAACGGCCUUUUCUAAUAAAGAGGGCUAAUGACGGUACCGUAAGAAUAAGCACCGGCUAACUACGUGCCAGCAGCCGCGGUAAUACGUAGGGUGCAAGCGUUAAUCGGAAUUACUGGGCGUAAAGCGUGCGCAGGCGGUUAUGUAAGACAGUUGUGAAAUCCCCGGGCUCAACCUGGGAACUGCAUCUGUGACUGCAUAGCUAGAGUACGGUAGAGGGGGAUGGAAUUCCGCGUGUAGCAGUGAAAUGCGUAGAUAUGCGGAGGAACGCCGAUGGCGAAGG
Molecule: ribosomal RNA, 663 nt
Filed under: uncultured beta proteobacterium
Lineage: Bacteria; Pseudomonadati; Pseudomonadota; Betaproteobacteria
Description: bacterial SSU rRNA
Rfam family: Bacterial small subunit ribosomal RNA
Source: RNAcentral